RNAcentral lists this long non-coding RNA (5683 nucleotides) under Capsicum annuum. RNAcentral describes it as "long non-coding RNA (CANN_LNC020204)". Lineage: Eukaryota; Viridiplantae; Streptophyta; Magnoliopsida; Solanales; Solanaceae. The record is from RNAcentral.
UUCUGUAAAUAUUUUCUUCUUAGAAAAAUGCUAGGCAACUUCUAUAUAAGUGAGUAAGAAACACCUCUCCCAUUAGGGCAAGAUAAUAAAUAGUGUGUAUGUAAGUAUAAGGAAGAUCUGAUUAAUGAUUUUUCUUAUGUUGUAAUAUGUUCAAGAAAUAAAAAGUUUGUUUCAUAUAUUCUUUGUCAAUCUUUUAUGCUGGUGAAAAAUGAAGGUUGCAAUAUUCGGCCUUAACGGAGGAAGGACGAAAUAGUAGCCUGAGAUAGUGAGUCACAAUAGGCUAAAAGGUUCUUCAUAGCCGGAAGGAGAAUCACUGCGGUGUUGAUACAGCUAACAUAAAAGAAAACUGAAAGGUAUAUGCAUAAACUCUAUCAUUUCAUGAACAUAUUAGCAUAAGAAAAGUCUAUUUUCAUAUCAACUCUAUACCUUCAUACAUAUUAUACGUUAUCAAUUACCUAUAGGGAAUUUAAAAUCAUGAUUGUUCAAAUUUGUCAUUAUGAAAGUAGUACACGAGUAAAACAAUUGAGAAGAUUGUAUUGGGAAUCCAAAAUGAUUAUUGCAAAAGUUGAUAGCGAUAUAAUAAUUUUUGAGAAAUUAUGUUCAACGAGUUUGUCGUUUAAAAAAUAAUUCAAAUAAAUCCGAAAUUAGCAGAUUAAAAAUAAUAUUUCUUUCAGCUAUUGGCCGAAAUCAUACUAUAAAAAUGACACAGAUUUCUCUGUUAAAAAGACAUAAGGCUAAGAUAAAGAAGACUAUUCUUUACGCUGCAUAAAAUAAUCAUCAUGAAGGUAAUACAACCAAAAUUAAUAAAGUUCAGAUAAAAUCUUUGGAAAUCCAAAACAAUUAUAAAUAGAAUUAAAGAAGACAUGAGGAAUUUGAGAAACUACCUUUGUAAAAUAUAUCGGUUUAAAACCACUUCAGUUAAUUCUGAAAUUAACAAGUUUAAAAUACUUCUACUUAGAGCUUUAGAUAGAAAUCGUGCUCUAAAAAACACACAGAAUUUUCUGUUAAAAAGAAAUAAGAUUAGGAUAAAGAAGACUAUUCUUUAUAGUGCCUAAUGAGUUAUUAUACUAUAUUCUUAGAUGAAAAUACAUUAAUCAAUAUUUUAAAAGUGAUAAAAUUAAAUAACGACCUACAAGAAAAAAUUGUAGAAAAAAUUAUAGAUCAUCUUGUCCAAUAACAAUGGUCUAUUCAUGACUAUUCCUAUGUGGAUUAGGGGUGGGCGUUCAAUUGGUUCGGUUUGGUUGUUUAAUAUCAGUUCAGCUUAUCGAUUUUUGGAUUGACAAAAAUGACAACCAUAACCAAACCGAAAUAAAAUUGGUUUGGUUCGGUUUCUUCAAAUUUGGUUCGGUUAUUUUGAAUUUUUAUUUCGGUUUGAAAUAUUAAAGUAGAGAGUGGAAUUAGGGUUACUAAAGUGUAUAUAUAAUUAAUAUAAUAUAUUGAUAAUAUAUAUUAUUAUAUAUAUAUAUAUAAUAAAUUAAUAAUAUAUAUAUAUUAUAAUAUUAUUUAUAAAAUUUUGGUUUUCGAUUUUUCGAUUUAACCAAAAAAAUUUUUAAGAAAACCGAAAUUUAAAAAUUGAAAACCGAAAUCAAUCCGAAAAAUCAAAACAAAAAUUAAAUUUCAGUUCGGUUUUUCGAUUUUUUCAGGUUUUCGGUAUUCAUGCCUAGCCCUAAUGUGGAUAGUGAUGAUGAUCCAUACUAUUGGUAUGACAAUGGUUAUUUCACUGAUUAUAUAUAUAUAUAUAUAGUAAAACAAUCUUAAUUGAUUCUCAUUAACCGAAUACUAUGAGAUUGCAAUAUAACAAACAAGGUGCUACCAAGAUAAUACAAUACAAGAGUAAAUACUAACACAAUACCAAAUCAUAUCAAGAAAUAUCAAUGCAGUGUAAUGUAGUGCUAAUGAUGAGAUGAUGAUGAAUGGUGAAAGUCAUUGAAUGACUUUUUAUAUACACCCACCGAGAUCACAAGCUACCGGGUAGGAUUCAUAGGGGGUCGCAAUCCAUAUACUCAUAUAAUCUCAAUGUUGUGUCUCAGAUCAACCUUAUUGGCACAUCCCUCAGUAUAGGCAUUUCAUAAGGUGUCUCAAUUUCUUAUAAAAAUUAGAAUGUCUCAGUGGUACCAAUAUCUCAUGAAUAUGCAUACGGGGUCUGAGGAUAUAAUUCUCACAACUAAUCGAUAUGAAGUCAAAAUCCAUUCAAUACAUGUAUAAGUGUGAUCAAAAUCAACUCAAUAUAUCAAUAAUUCAUAAUAUCAAUUUUCAUUUAGCACCACUAGAAUAAAUAGUUAUAUAGUCAUCAAUAUAAUCUUCUUUUAACCCCACUCGGACAUUAGUAUAAUGAAAAUACAAUUAACUACUUAUAUAAGAUCUACAAUGUCAAAUCAAGUACCCACUCGAAUGACAAAAAAAUAUAUAAGACACCUAAUGCACAAAACAUGACUAACAAUAUCACGUCAAGUCCCCACUCAGACGCCAUAAUAGAAUAUCCUCUCAAUUAAAAGCAAUAUGUAUAUAAGCCCCCCCUCCCCCCAGGCAUACGAUCAUAAAUAAUUACUCAAGUCCAUAAAUAAUUACCCAAGUCCAUAAUGAAGUUUGUAUAAGUCUCACAUGGGUAUCACAAAAUAAAUAACAAUCCGAAAAAUAAUAAAUCACGGUCUUCUCAAACCUAACUUGGUUCAUUAAGUCUCACCAACUAUCACAAGUAUAUUCAUUCUCUAAGAAUUCUCUAAACCUCAAAUUCCAUCAAUAAUGACGAUAAUAACAUCAUUACCCCUAAAAAGAAACUAAUCCACAAUUAUCUCAACAAAGUCCGCUAACACAAUUCAAGCUCUAAAAUGGCAAUCCAACAACAAUUAUCUGAGAAUCACUGGGUUAUCUAUCUAUAUUCUACUCUACGGACAUUAUCAAUAAUAAUACUAACUAAUCAAGUAAAUCAUCCAAUUACAAUCCAUCAAAGAUUUUGAUACCCACGGAGAUGCUCUUCAUUUUACCGAAGUGUGAUCCCCGAUCCUAAGUGAUAGAAAAAAAAAACAAGUGUACAACUCAUAAACACUUUGAAAAAAGUCAAGGUAUAUCUCAACUUGUCUUAAAUGGAGAUCCGCAAAUCCAAAAGCAGUCCAAAGAAAUCGAGAGCCCAACUCUCUCGAAUCCACACCAAUGUGUCCAAUAUACUUAAACAUGUCAUCUAUAGUCAAAAGAAAGCUAAUGAUCCCCAUAUUGACCCUAUUUAAGGCAGAUCCAAAUUAAAAUGAGUUCGAAAAUAAAAAAGUUAACACCAAAAUUUUAUUUAAGAAUAGUAUUCUCCAUAUCAAGAGGAGUCUAUAGUUGAAACCCCAAAAAAUAAUGAGCAGAAAUCGAAUCUCAAAUUGAAGAAAAAUCAAUUUAUACUUUACCAGAUAAAAAUUCCCAAAAUCGUAGUUUGAAAUCAUGAUUUUAAAAAGUUUUUGAUGAUAUAAUCGAUGAAAAUUUAUGAGAAUAAUGUUUUGAAACUUACCCAAGCUCAAAUGAUGGAAAAAACUUCAAGAAUCGGCUAGACUGGAAGCUCAAAGGUCCAAAAAUAGAGAAAAAGUGUGAAAAUGGAUUUUUAUAUCAAACCUAGCUUUGGCCGGUUAAGUGAUCAUCACUAAAAUGAUGGGUGACCGCUAAAGCGGUCUGGUCUACAUUGUUAUACUUGCUAAAGUGGUUAAGUGACCGCUUUAGUAGUAGGCGGCGAGUCAUGCAUGACCGCUAAAGCGGUGCUCUUCUGCUUAAGCGGACAUUGGUAAAGUGGUAUUAUGAUCACUAAAGCUCCUAUACCAGGAACUUUGCUAGGUUGCAAAGUAGUCGGUUGACCCCUCGACAUUCGUUUGACAUUUCGUGAAUGCAAACAAACUAUAUAUGCUACUAGGAUAAUUUUGAUAUUCUGAACUUAAUGAUGAUGUUUUAAUUUUCAAAAAAAGAUUUUUUUCACUAAAUUGAUCCCCAGGACUGCUUUUUAUUAUUUUCCUUAUGAUGGACCAAAAUACAAGAUAAGGGUCUUGAACUCGAAUCAACCGCACUACUGACCAAAAUUUGAUAUUCCAAAUCUGUUGGCGACGUUCAAACUGUAACCCAUCUCUCAGAACAAUGAAUGUUGAUCAAAGUCAACUAUAUGACUUCUUAAAUCUCUAAAAAAGUCAUAAACUCACAUAAAACUUCUCGAUCGCAUCGAAAACCAUGCCCGCUAUCUUCAAACUUCAAAAUUAACAUGUAGAAACUAUGGAGAAGGACAAAAUGAUCAAAACACAGAAAUUUCUAAAUUUCAAUACAAGGAUCAUUACAGGAGUCAUGUUACCCAUUCCUGAAGAUGACAAACAACAAAAUACGAUUAUGAAAAGGGAUAAAAUGACCAAAACACGCCAAAUGGAUUUAAAAAUAUAUGCUUAAUAUCAUCCACAGUUUCUUCAUAAUUAUCCAAAUGGUCCCAAAUAUUUAACUUCAUCUACUGCCAAACGACAAAAUCACAUGCUAAUAGUACUUGAAUUUUUAUUUUUGGAUUUUCUAUUUGAUCUCUGAUAUUCAGUUUUGAGCUUAUUUCUAGAAGACGCUCUCAAUAGAGUAUUUUUAUUCUCAGAAGUUUAAGUCGAAAUCUUUGAUUAAGAAAUUGGAUUUCAAUCAUUUAUCACAACUUAUGUUGGUGAAACAUAUUACUUGCUCCACCCUUCAUUUCACCUUAUUUAACAUUAUUUUACUUGGGAGGACCCAACUCGCUCCUUCUUCGUGAUCAUGAUCAAAUCCUGUGAUUGAAUGUUAAAGGAUUUUCCACUCUGCGGUCGCAAUAGGGGCGUCACAAACGUGAAGAAGGGGCUAGGUUCACCAGUUGAAGCAUCUCAAGAAAAAAUCUCUGUGACGGACCCUCGAAAUGCGUUCGGAACUCCAUGAACACAAUUCAACUAUGCUACUAAACCAAAUUUGUCAUUCUAAAAUCAACGAAUCAGUUAGAAUUUUCAGUGCAGCUGUUAUUGUUAGAAGAUGUCCAAAGUUAACUUUGGGCCUUGAUUUCUAACAUCUCAUUUAAACUCUCAAAAUUUUACCGAAAUCCUCGAAAUCUGAACCAACUAUUCUACUUAUUCAAAAUUGAGGGAAUACAAAAAUGUAUUCUUUUUGCUAAAUAAAUUAAAUUUUUUAUUUCAUCCAAAUGGUCCUGACUUGUUAAUGUCAUCCAAAUGGUCCUAAUUUAUUAAUAUCAUCCAAAUGGUCCUACACGUACACUUAAAAUCUGUGGGAAAAUGGCAAAGUCACAUGCUAGCAAUAAGCACGUUUUUCUCGUUGAAGAACAAAAGUAGGGACUCGUGUUUUCCACAAACUUCAUUCUUAAGUCUUCCCAUAUAUUUUGAACUCCAAAUUAUACAUUUUGAACUCUAUUUAAAUUGUGAGUGGACUCCAUAAUCCUAAUCUUAGUAAUCUACCUAAAUUAAAUUCUUUUAUGUAUUUAUCAAUAGAUAUUUUUUGAUCUCAACUUGAUACUCUAAUUUGUUGUUUAGAUUGAAAUUCCUUAUCCUUAGUAGUUUCUAGGUAAUUAAUUAUCCUCAAGUUUCUGAAAUUUGUUUAUAAUUUAUAUCUUUGAUUGUAAUGAAUUGUGACAAAAAUUGAUUAGAUGAACACAUUUCAUACUUAUAGAGCGUAAAAGAUCUCUUUUCAUUUAAACACACACAAAUUUAAAACAAGAUAC